UUAGAUACCNUGGUAGUCCACGCUGUAANCGAUGAUUACUAGGUGUGGGGGGACCAAGGUUCUUCGGUGCCGUCGCAAACGCAUUAAGUAAUCCACCUGGGGAGUACGUUCGCNAAGAAUGAAACUCAAAAGGAAUUGACGGGGACCCGCACAAGCGGUGGAGGCAUGUGGUUUAAUUCGAAGCAACGCGAAGAACCUUACCUGGUCUUGACAUCCCGAUGACGAGUGAGCAAAGUCACUUUCCCUUCGGGGCAUUGGAGACAGGUGGUGCAUGGUUGUCGUCAGCUCGUGUCGUGAGAUGUUGGGUUAAGUCCCGCAACGAGCGCAACCCCUAUUUCCAGUAGCCAGCAAGAAAGAUGGGAACUCUGGAGAGACUGCCCGGGAUAACUGGGAGGAAGGCGGGGAUGACGUCAAAUCAUCAUGCCCCUUAUGAUCAGGGCUACACACGUGCUACAAUGGCGUAAACAAAGGGAAGCGAAGUGGUGACACGAAGCAAAUCCGAAAAACAACGUCUCAGUUCGGAUUGUAGUCUGCAACUCGACUACAUGAAGCUGGAAUCGCUAGUAAUCGCGAAUCAGAAUGUCGCGGUGAAUACGUUCCCGGGUCUUGUACACACCGCCCGUCACACCAUGGGAGUCGGGAAUGCCCGAAGCCGGUGGCCCGAUCGAAAGAAGGGAGCCGUCGAAGGCAGGCCGGAUGACUGGGGUGAAGUCGUAACAAGG
RNAcentral lists this ribosomal RNA (722 nucleotides) under uncultured bacterium. RNAcentral describes it as "bacterial SSU rRNA". It matches the Rfam family "Bacterial small subunit ribosomal RNA", at positions 778 to 1496 of the family's 1533-position model. The record is from RNAcentral.